GACGAACGCUGGCGGCGUGCUUAACACAUGCAAGUCGAACGGUAAGGCUCCAGCUUGCUGGGGUACACGAGUGGCGAACGGGUGAGUAACACGUGGGUGACCUGCCCUGCACUUCGGGAUAAGCCUGGGAAACUGGGUCUAAUACCGGAUAGGACCGCACCGUGAGGUUGUGGUGGAAAGUUUUUUCGGUGGGGGAUGGGCCCGCGGCCUAUCAGCUUGUUGGUGGGGUAAUGGCCUACCAAGGCGGCGACGGGUAGCCGGCCUGAGAGGGUGGACGGCCACAUGGGUACUGAGACACGGCCCAGACUCCUACGGGAGGCAGCAGUGGGGAAUAUUGCACAAUGGGCGGAAGCCUGAUGCAGCGACGCCGCGUGGGGGAUGACGGCCUUCGGGUUGUAAACUCCUUUCACCAUCGACGAAGGGUUUCUGACGGUAGAUGGAGAAGAAGCACCGGCUAACUACGUG
This 465-nucleotide ribosomal RNA is filed under the name uncultured bacterium. RNAcentral describes it as "partial 16S ribosomal RNA". It matches the Rfam family "Bacterial small subunit ribosomal RNA", at positions 28 to 507 of the family's 1533-position model. The record is from RNAcentral.